ACUAUGACGCUGGCGGCGUGCCUAUACAUGCAAGUCGAGCGGACAGAUGGGAGCUUGCUCCCGGAUGUUAGCGGCGGACGGGUGAGUAACACGUGGGUAACCUGCCUGUAAGACUGGGAUAACUCCGGGAAACCGGAGCUAAUACCGGAUAGUUCCUUGCCCCGCAUGGUGCAAAGAUGAAAGACGGUUUCGGCUGUCACUUACAGAUGGACCCGCGGCGCAUUAGCUAGUUGGUGAGGUAACGGCUCACCAAGGCAACGAUGCGUAGCCGACCUGAGAGGGUGAUCGGCCACACUGGGACUGAGACACGGCCCAGACUCCUACGGGAGGCAGCAGUAGGGAAUCUUCCGCAAUGGACGAAAGUCUGACGGAGCAACGCCGCGUGAGUGAUGAAGGUUUUCGGAUCGUAAAGCUCUGUUGUUAGGGAAGAACAAGUGCCAGAGUAACUGCUCGCACCUUGACGGUACCUAACCAAAAAAGCCACGGCUAACUACGUGCCACAGCCGCGGUAAUACUUAGGUGGCAAGCGUUGUCCGGAAUUAUUGCGCGUAAAGGGCGCGCACGCGUUUCUUAAGUCUGAUGUGAAACCCCCCGGCUCACCCGGGAGGGUCAUUGGAACUGGGAAACCUUGAGCGC
Molecule: ribosomal RNA, 636 nt
Filed under: Bacillus sp. GI1
Lineage: Bacteria; Bacillati; Bacillota; Bacilli; Caryophanales; Bacillaceae
Description: bacterial SSU rRNA
Rfam family: Bacterial small subunit ribosomal RNA
Source: RNAcentral